RNAcentral lists this ribosomal RNA (468 nucleotides) under uncultured bacterium. RNAcentral's name for it is "partial 16S ribosomal RNA". It matches the Rfam family "Bacterial small subunit ribosomal RNA", at positions 28 to 507 of the family's 1533-position model. The record is from RNAcentral.
GACGAACGCUGGCGGCGUGCUUAACACAUGCAAGUCGAACGGAAAGGCCCUGCUUUUGUGGGGUGCUCGAGUGGCGAACGGGUGAGUAACACGUGAGUAACCUGCCCUUGUCUUUGGGAUAACUUCAGGAAACUGGGGCUAAUACCGGAUAGGAGCUCCUGCUGCAUGGUGGGGGUUGGAAAGUUUCGGCGGUUGGGGAUGGACUCGCGGCUUAUCAGCUUGUUGGUGGGGUAGUGGCUUACCAAGGCUUUGACGGGUAGCCGGCCUGAGAGGGUGACCGGCCACAUUGGGACUGAGAUACGGCCCAGACUCCUACGGGAGGCAGCAGUGGGAAAUAUUGCACAAUGGGCGGAAGCCUGAUGCAGCAGCGCCGCGUGCGGGAUGACGGCCUACUGGUUGUAAACCGCUUUCGCCGGUGACGAAGCGUGAGUGACGGUAAUGAGUAAAGAAGCACCGGCUAACUACGUG